This 113-nucleotide ribosomal RNA is filed under the name Bacteroidales bacterium. Lineage: Bacteria; Pseudomonadati; Bacteroidota; Bacteroidia; Bacteroidales. The record is from RNAcentral.
UGCCGUGGUUAUAGCGGUGAGGAACCACCUCUUCCCAUUCCGAACAGAGAAGUUAAGCUCACCAUCGCCGAUGGUACUGCCCCACCAGGUGGGAGAGUAGGUAGCUGCGGUUC